GAUGAACGCUGGCGGCGUGCCUAACACAUGCAAGUCGAACGGAGUCCAGCCUUUAAGACCUUCGGGUCAAAGAGGGGAAGACUGAGUGGCGGACGGGUGAGUAACACGUGGGCAACCUGGCUCAUAGAGGGGGAUAACAGAGAGAAAUUUCUGCUAAUACCGCAUAAGCACACACUGCCGCAUGGCAGAGGGUGAAAAGAGAAUCGCUAUGAGAUGGACCCGCGUCUGAUUAGCCAGUUGGCAGGGUAAGAGCCUACCAAAGCGACGAGCAGUAGCCGAUCUGAGAGGAUGAACGGCCACAUUGGGACUGAGACACGGCCCAAACUCCUACGGGAGGCAGCAGUGGGGGAUAUUGCACAAUGGGGGGAACCCUGAGGCAGCGACGCCGCGUGAGUAGAAGUAUUUCGGUAUGUAAAGCUCUAUCAGCAGGGAAGAUAAUGACAGUACCUGAAUAAGAAGCCCCGGCUAACUACGUG
RNAcentral lists this ribosomal RNA (476 nucleotides) under uncultured bacterium. Its description in RNAcentral is "partial 16S ribosomal RNA". It matches the Rfam family "Bacterial small subunit ribosomal RNA", at positions 28 to 507 of the family's 1533-position model. The record is from RNAcentral.